Molecule: long non-coding RNA, 1413 nt
Filed under: Homo sapiens (human)
Lineage: Eukaryota; Metazoa; Chordata; Mammalia; Primates; Hominidae
Description: HSALNT0372283
Source: RNAcentral
AUAAGACAUACGGACAGUUUAAUAUAGUAUUUGGCACAUAUCUACUUGGAUGCUACUUUCCAGUAGUAUUAUUAUCACUACUGUUGCUGCAUUGGUAUUAUUAUUACUGUUACUUACCCAAAACCUGUCAAUUACUAAUAUUGCUUCCACUAGUUAGUGAAGUAGAAACCCAGAUAAAAGCUUUACAUACAUAAUCUCAUGUAAUCUUUUCAGCCGUGCUAUGAGGUCUGCAUUGAUAUUCUCCAUUACAAAUAAGGAAACUGAUACACAGAGAGGUUGAUUGGCUGCCUAAAACCACACAGCCUUUAUGUAGCUCACCGUGAACUCUUAGAAACAAGCAAUGCCUGCUAAGAAAUCCCCAGUCAAACCAGCCUUUGCAUAAAAAGAUGGAGUCUCGCUGUCACCCAGAGUCGAGUGCAGUGGCACAAUCUUGGCUUACUACAACCUCCGCCUCCCGGGUUCAAGCGAUUUUCCUGCCUCAGCUUCCCGAGUAGCUGGGACUACAGGUGCGCACCACCACACCCAGCCUUAAGUUUGAAUAAUUUGUAAUUACUACUGGCUAUAAGAAAUCCUUGUUAUAGUUGAAUAAUAAUUAUCACUAUAAGGGCUAACACUCUGCACUCAAUUUGUUUCAGGGGCCAUGCUAACGACUUUAUGUGUAUUGACUUAUUUAUUCUUCACAUCCACAAAGAUGAUAUUUGGUAGUAUUAAUUCUACUAUUUAAAAGGAGAGUGUUCACACAUGCAAAUUGAGAGUGAUUCUUAUAACCCUUCUUUUGUGUCUCCUAAUCCUGUGUUGUACACAUCCCUGGAGCUUAACACACUUUCACUAUGUCUGGGCCAAAACUCUUCAACAAUUUAUUGGCUUAAUAAUCAAGGUUGCAUUUCAGAAGCCAUUGCAUUUAAAUACAGAUUGUAUUAUGUUUUUGUGCCUAACAUAUCAGUACAAAAUUUGACAGACACAGUAGUCAUUGUGAUUCUUUGUCAUAUCUGGCAAGCUAUGAAGAGGGGUAGGCAAAAGUCCAGAACCCGUCUCUAUCCUGCCAAAGUGUGUGGCCCUUGCCAGACCUCACCAGUGUGUCUUUCUCGCAUUUUUGAGAAGGGGCAGGGAAACUCCACACAUGGCAGAGUGAUGAGCUUGUGGAAAUAAUAAUGACACAACUAGAUUAAUGUGUGCAAAUAUACAGUGAGAUGGAAGAAAUGAGACCUGGUGUUCAGAUGAGUAGGAUGCCACAGUUAACAUUAACCAGUUGUACAUUUCAAAAUAACUAGAAGAGAAUACUUGAAGUGUUCCUAGCAUAAAGAAAAGAUAAAUGUUUAGGUGAUGGAUAUGCCAGUUACCAUGAUUUGAUUUUAUGAAUGUAUGAAAUUAUCACAUGCAUCCCUAAAAUAUGUACAUGUAUUUUUAUCAAUA